CGUAGGGAGCAAGCGUUGUUCGGAUUUACUGGGCGUAAAGGGCGCGUAGGCGGCGCGGUAAGUCACUUGUGAAAUCUCUGAGCUUAACUCAGAACGGCCAAGUGAUACUGCAGUGCUAGAGUGCAGAAGGGGCAAUCGGAAUUCUUGGUGUAGCGGUGAAAUGCGUAGAUAUCAAGAGGAACACCUGAGGUGAAGACGGGUUGCUGGGCUGACACUGACGCUGAGGCGCGAAAGCCAGGGGAGCAAACGGGAUUAGAUACCCCGGUAGUCCUGGCCCUAAACGAUGAAUACUUGGUGUCUGGAGUUUCAAUACUCCGGGUGCCGUCGCUAACGUUUUUAGUAUUCCGCCUGGGAGUACGCUCGCAAGAGUG
This 371-nucleotide ribosomal RNA is filed under the name uncultured organism. Its description in RNAcentral is "bacterial SSU rRNA". It matches the Rfam family "Bacterial small subunit ribosomal RNA", at positions 526 to 896 of the family's 1533-position model. The record is from RNAcentral.